GGGGGUAUGGCGUAGUGGUAACGCGUUCGCUUCGCAUGCGAAAGACCCUGGGUUCGAUCCCCAGUGCCUCCA
This is a non-coding RNA of Chytridium lagenaria, 72 nucleotides long. The record is from the annotation of a GenBank genome assembly. NCBI's taxonomy places the organism in Eukaryota, Fungi, Chytridiomycota, Chytridiomycetes, Chytridiales, Chytridiaceae.